RNAcentral lists this unclassified non-coding RNA (433 nucleotides) under soil metagenome. RNAcentral's name for it is "partial contains 5.8S ribosomal RNA, internal transcribed spacer 2, and large subunit ribosomal RNA". The stretch from base 1 to 120 matches the Rfam family "5.8S ribosomal RNA", at positions 35 to 154 of the family's 154-position model. The record is from RNAcentral.
GAUGAAGAACGCAGCGAAAUGCGAUACGUAAUGUGAAUUGCAGAAUUCAGUGAAUCAUCGAAUCUUUGAACGCAUAUUGCGCUCUCUGGUAUUCCGGAGAGCAUGCUUGUUUGAGUAUCAGUAAACACCUCAACUUCCAUAUCUUUUUUGAAAUAGGAGUUGGACUUGAGUGAUCCCAACGCUUUUCCUCACCGAAAAGUGGCGGGUUACUUGAAAUGCAGGUGCAGCUGGACUUUUCUCUGAGCUAUAAGCAUAUCUAUUUAGUCUGCCUAAAAAACAGAUUAUUACCUUUGCUGCAGCUAACAUAAAGGAGAUUAGUUCUUGUGCUGACUGAUGCAGGAUUCACAAAGACAGGCUUCGGCCGACUUUGUAAACUCGAUCUCAAAUCAAGUAAGACUACCCGCUGAACUUAAGCAUAUCAAUAAGCGGAGGA